AAUGAUAUGUACAAUGUUGAUACCUCUUGACAGUAAUUUCUUGCAUAACAUUUAUUUAUUUUUAUUUAUAAUUAUAUAUUAAUUAACAAAAUCACCAACACUACAUUAUCAAAAUUAAGAUAAGCUGCGCUUUCAUAUAAUUCAUGGAGUUAUAAAACCGUGAUAGCACUUGUAUAAAAGAAAUGUAUUUGGACCCAGACCUAGUAGGAUAGCAUUUUCAAUAGCAUGUGCAUGCCUAGAGAAAAAAAGGAUUGUUGCUAUAUCUAACUCUAAUGUGUAAACUUCAAAUUAUAAUACUCCCU
RNAcentral lists this long non-coding RNA (302 nucleotides) under Setaria viridis. RNAcentral's name for it is "long non-coding RNA (SVIR_LNC005917)". The record is from RNAcentral. Lineage: Eukaryota; Viridiplantae; Streptophyta; Magnoliopsida; Poales; Poaceae.